UCUGCAGUCUGUAGGUGGCUCGUCUGCAGUCGCAGUCGCAGCUCCAGCUCGAACCUCGCGACGGCCGGUCUUCGCGCGGCCUCGGCUCCGGCCCCGGCCUCAGCCUCCCGGCGCGGCUCGCAGCGGCGGCGGCGGCGGCUCCCGCUCGACGGCCCCGGGCCGCCCCAGCACCCCGGACAGCGGCGCCUCCUGCCGGGACCCGGCCGUCUCCCCCCAUCCCCGCCGGGCUCGCGGCCCGCUGCCCUGAGGGCCCCAGGUACUGGACAGGCUGGAGGGGGGAAAGGGUGAACCUGGCGAGGUUUCGGCCGGUCUUAAAGAGCCUCGCGGCCCAACUCGUUCGUGCUCUUUCCUCACUCCUCCUAUCCAAUACAGCCCAGUGGGCAUUUAUUAACCACCUACUAUGUGCGAGGGCUUGGGGUGGCUCACCCCUCCCCCUCGAAGGCGGCCAUGCGGCAGGUACGCAGAUAAGUAUUUCCUUGAUGAAUAUAGUAGAUGCUUAAUAAAUGCUUGUUGAAUGAGUGAGUAGACGAACGAACGAACGAAUGAAUGAAUGAAUGAAUGAACAGGUAGGCUGCAGCUAGAUGGCGAACGGCUGGUCCGGGGCGGAGCACUGUGCAAUGGAAAGAAUGUGGACGGGGCUGUCUCACCUGAUCCUCACAACCACCCUGGGAGGUUUAACUGUUAGUAAUAUACAAAAGGUGGAUGAUUUUUGUGGAUUCAUUUCAUAUUCUACUUUGAUGCUGAUUAAGUAAGCCAUCAUGUCAUCUGCAAAUAGGGCCACGUCCAUCAGACUUGAUCAUCAUAUAGUGUUGUUGUUGAAGUAUAUAAUGAUCUCCUGGUUCUGCUCAUUUCAAGAAAACUUUAUUGAGAGUUUCUAAGUGGCAGGCAAUGUGCCGGCAACUCUGAGCACUCAGUGUAUCUCCAGGGUAAAUGGAAGAGAAUCUUGAGAGGCAGAUGGUGACAUUGGAGCUAGGACUGGAAACAAGCCAGGUAAGCUGGGACACUGACAUCGGUGUCCAAGACUAAGCCAGGUUGACAGUCACAGAAAAUGUCAUCUGAGAAUGGCGUAGCUUCGAGAGGAACACCAAGGGAGGUUGGCCCCGGGUGGAGCAGACAGAGCGUGGAGCAAGGUCACUUGGCAGCAGUUGGAAAGGCUGACUUCAGAAAAGCCUGGAGAGACUUACAUGAAUUGAUGCUGAGUGAAGUGAGCAGAACCAGGAGAACAUCGUACACGGUAACAGCAAGACUGUGUGACAAUCAACCUCGGCGGAAUUGGCUCUUCUCAGAAGUGUGGUGAUCCAAGACAAUUCCAGUUUACUUGGGAUGGAAAAGGCCACCUUGGGGACUGAAUUUGGAUCAAAGCAUACUAUGUAAUUGUUUUUUUCUCAUGGUUUCCCUUUUGAUUUUUCUUUCACAACAUGGAAACAUGUUUAGAAUGAUUGUACAUGUAUAACCUAUGUUAGAUUGCUUGCUAUCUUGGAGAGGGAGAAAAGUUUUUGUAACUCAAAAUCUUAAAGAAGUGAAUGUUGAAAACUAUCUUAACAUGUAAUUGGAAAAUAAAAUACUGUUAAGUAAAAAAAAGUGAGAGUGAGACUAGAUGAGAAUUCAGUAUAAAUUCCUGAAACUUAACUAAAAAUAUCAUUGGCAACAGAAAGUAAAAAAACUGGGAGAGCAAAUAGGAGUUUGAGAGAGAGUAAAAGAAAUUGAGAAAUGCAGGGGAAAGAGAAACAAUGGAAUAGAGAGAAAAUAAGAUGGAGGAGUAUAGAAGAGACAAAGUGAAAGACAAGUAGGGAAUGAGCAAAAGAUUAACAGUAGAAGUAGAGAAAGAAUGAGAGAGACAAACAAAAGCGGAGUGGGGGGAGAGAGAGUAAGAAGUAGUGAGAAAAAGAGGGAGAAUGGGAGGACAAGACAGAAAGAGAGAUGGAGAUAGGGAAUGAGAAAAAGAAUGAGAGGAUGACAAAGAGAAAGAAAACUUAGGAAAACAGUGAUUUUUUUUUAAAAAAAAAAGGACAGAAUGUGAGAGAGCCAUAGAAAUAACAGGAGAGGAAAAAGGAGGAGAGACAGAGAAAGCCCAAAACAGAAUGAAAUAGAAAAUGAGAGUGAUACAGAGAGAGUGAGAAAUGGGAAGAAAAUUAGAGGGAAAGAAAAAUAGUAGAAUAGAGAAAAAAGGGAGAUAGAACAAGAGAAAUAAAAAGAAAGACAGACACAGUGAAAGAGAAUAAAAGAUUGGAGAGGGAAAAGGGGAAAGAGUGGGAUAGGAGAGUGUGUGAGAUUGGAUUAUUAGCUUACAAUUUCUCAAUCCUUACAAAUGAGUGAGUCAAAGAGCAAAUUUUAGGAUGGAUAAUUUCAUUAAAGAUAAUGACAACAAUGAGCCAACAUAUGUGAACUGAUCCAGCCAUUCUUGAAAACAAUUGAGAACUUUGCCCAAAGGGCUAUCAAACUGUGCAUACCCUUUGAUCCAGCAGAGUCACUACUAGAUUUGUAUCCCAAAGAAAUCAUAAAAGAGGGGAUGGGACCCCCGUGUGCAAAAACAGCACCUUUUUCUGUGGUGGCAAAGAAAUGGAAAAUGAGGGGAUGCCCAUUGGUUGGAGAAUGGCUGAAUAAGUGAAUAAGAUAUAUGAUUGUAAUGGAAUAUUAUUGUUCUAUAAAAAAUGAUGAUUUCGGGGAGACUUACCUGAACUGAUGCUGAGUGAAGUAAGCUGAACCAGGACAAUAUUGUACACAGCAACAAGAUUAUGUGAUGAUCAACUAUGAUUGAUUUAGCUCUUCUAAGCAAUGCACUGAUCCAAGACAAUUGUGAAUUCAGAGAGAAUUAUGGAGACUGAAUGUAGAUAGAAGCAUAUUAUUUUCAUCUUUUUCCUUUUUCUUUCUCAUGGUUUUCCCCUUUCAUUCUGAUUUUUCUUUCAUAACAUGACUACUAUGUUUAAAAUGAUUAUACAUGUAUAAAUUAUAUCACAUUGCUUGCUGUCCUGGGGAGGAUAAACGGGAAGGAGAAAAAUAUUUGGAAUGAGACAAUGUACCAAAAUUUAUGUGAAACAGCCAAAAUAGUACCAAAUGGAAAAUUUAUGUUUCUAAAUACUUACAUCAAUAAAAUAGAGAAAGAGAUGGAUGAAAUGCAUAUGCAACUAAAAACUAGCAAAAAAUUAAAAAUCCUGAAAAUCAAAGGAAAGAUUAGUAAAAAUUGAAAACAAUAAAAGCACUUAACUAAUAAAACUAAGAGAUGUAUUCAUGGAAAAAAAACCCAACAAAAUAGAGAAAACAUUGGUUAGUUUGAAUUUUAAAAAGAAGAAAAUCAAAUUACCAGUAUCAAAAAUGAAAAGGGUGAAUUCACCACCACUGAAGAUGAAAUUAAAGCAAUUAUUAGGAGCUAUUUUGCCCAAUUAUAUCAACAAAUCUAACCAUCUAAAUGAUUUUUCUCUCUUUCUCAUCUUUUUCAAGAAUGAAAGAGAAAAAUUGCGAGAAAUAAAUGAGAUUGGAAGAAAUAUGAAAGUGAGAAACAAUAAGGGAGUGAGAGAGAAUGAGAAAAAGAAAAAAGGUGUAUUCUUGAAAGAAGAAAGAAUGGGACAGUGAGGCAAAAAUAAGAGAAAAAAGAAUGGGAGAGAAAAGCAAAGUAAAAAAGAGUGGGAGACAGAGCCAGGGAAAGAGAGAAAGAAAAAUGGAGAGUGAGAGAAAAGAAAAAUAGACAAAGCUUUGGAGACAGGGAAGGGAGCAAAAGAGACAGAAAAAGUGAAGAAAACAGGGAGCAUAAAAUAAAGAGAUAAGGGCAGAGUGAGGAAAAGGGAAAGCAUGAGUCAAAGUGUGGCAGAAAGAAAGAAAAAGAGAUGUUGGUGAAAGAGAAAUUCUGUGAGUGGAAUACAGAGAAAAAAGGAGAGAGGAAGAGAAAGAAGCAGAGAGCAUGAGUGGGAAAAACAAUUAGAAAUUCUCUUAUUUUUAUGCCAACAAAACUGAAGAUAAAAUGAAAUGGGUGAAUAUUUAUAAAAGUAUAAAAUGGAGGAAAUAACAAAUAUAAACAAUCUUAUCUCAGAGAAUCUGAGUAAAUCAUAAAUGAAAUCCAAGGAAAAAUUCCUAGUUUAAUUAUGAAUUAUAUCACACAUUUAAAGAACAGUUAAUCAUUCUGCUAUGUAAGCUGUUCACAAAGUAAUAGAGCAAGAUGCCACCUUUACCAAAUUCCUUCUAUGAGAAAAAUAUGGUCCUGACAAACUAAAUUAGGGAUAAAGCUAAUAAAGAAAAAUACACACCAAUAUCACUAAUUAUUUAGUUAACCAAGCAGGUAUAAUAUAUUAAAAAUUAUUCACUAUGAUCAAUUUAGAUUUAUACCAGAAGUAUAAGGUUGGCUCAGAAAUGCCAUAUAUUUGAAAAACUACGCAUUUAUAACACAUCAUAUUAAUAAAUCACAUAAUCAUUUCAGUUCGGAGGGGAAAAAAAGCCUCGGGGAAAAUAUACUUUUAUUUCUGAUAUCCAGUGAGAAUAUUAAUUAUGUUUUUUUAAUAUCUGUAAAAUCAGGAACUAGUUUUUAUUUGUAACAGAAUAACACCAUAGUCUUUCCCAGUAAGAUAAUACAAGAUUCCUCACUGUCUCUGUUAUUAUUUGAAUACCUUUCUAGAAAUGCUCCUAUAGCACUGACAAUGAAAAGUAGCUCAGGGAGAACAAAUCCAUCAAGGGAGAAGAAUAUCCCUUCUAUUGGCAGAUAAUAUGAUGUUUACUUUAAGAAUUAUGGGGUUUCAGAAAAAACACUCAUCAAAAUGACAGCCCCAGUAAAGUUGUAAGAUAUAAAAUGAAACUACAAGUUGUCACCUUUUGUCUACAUCACUUACAAUCCAAGAGGAAGAGAUGGACAGAAAAACUCUACUAAAUCCUCUGUGAUGCAUUAAAAAAUGGAUUUAAGAGACUGAGACACGGUUAAGAGUGAUCUAAACUCUGCCAUAAAGCACUGCUGAGUGUUUUAUGAGUAAAGUACAUUGGAGAGAGAUUCAUUACUCAUGGUUGGAGCGUGUCAAAAUGUUUUAAAAAAUUGUGAUGACAUUUAAAUUAAUUCAUAAAUUGAGUUUUUUUUUCAAGCAAUAUAUUACCAAGGCGUUCCUGUAUAGGACCAUAUAAGUCAUAAUGAAAGUUCAUUAAUUUCAAGGGAAAUAGUGGGAAAAAAUAAUAAUGAAGGGAGCUUAGCAUUAUCAAAUCUCAGAUGAUAGUAUGAAGCAGUAAUCAUCUAUUUGAAUGGUUUAUAUGGUUUAAGAAAAGGACUAGAGAAAUGGGACUUAGGAGUAAAGGAUACAGUCGUUCAGUGUUUUAUAAACCCAAAGAUAUUGAUAUCAUGGAUAUGGUAGAUAGAAGAGUUCUUGGGAAAUCACAUUGGACUAGCAUUUUAUACCACGUAAUCGUCAUAAGCCUGAAAUGGAUGUAUGACAGUAAUAUAAAAGGUCAUAGCACCAAAAAUUAAGAGUAAAGGUUCCAUAUAUACCAAAAUAUUCCUAAUUUUUUUUCCUUAACAGAAAAUUCUCCAAAUAAAAUUAGUCCUUGUCUCUUAGGAAACGGAUAAACAAAAUGUGAUAUGAAUGUAGUACGAUAUUAUUUAAUGUAAAAAAAAUGACUAUAAAAUUCAGAAACUUGGGCAGACUUGUAUGAACCUUGGGAACAUUAAUGAUAGUAAUUAUAAUUUCAAUAGUACUUUAAAGUUUACAGAAUUCUUUGGAAAUGUGAUCUCACUUUAUCCUCACAACUCUAAAAAGUUUGAAUAGUUAUCAAAAUAGAAAAUGCCCAGAUUCACAGAACAAGAAGUAAAGGGCUGAAAUAACAGUUCAUAAAAAGAAAUGAAACAAGCCAUAAAUGACUUCCAAAAAGGGAGAGAGGACCUUAGACUUUAUAAGUAAAUUUGAUUAUUCAGAAAAAAGAGUCCAUGGUGUUGUUAACCUAAACCAAGAAAAGUAAAAACAGAAAGAAAACUAUGGAUCAAUAUCCCUAAUGAACACGGAUGCAAAACAAGGUGGAAAUGAAGGGAAAAGACCUUAUGUAUAAAAAAGUAUUUAUAGCAGUUCUCUUUGUGGUGACAGAACCAACAAAAUGGAAACUAAGGGCGUGAGAAUGAUUUGGAGAAUGGGUAAACAAACAAUGCUAUUUGAAUGUGCUGUUAUUCAGCCAUUUUUCUGUCAUGUCGGAUUCUCUGUGACCCAGUUUGGGGUUUUCUUGGCAAAGAUACUGAUUGGCCAUUUCCUUCUCCAGCUCAUUUUACAGAUGAGGAAAUUGAGGCAAACAGGGUGAAGUGACUUGCCCAGGCUCACACAGUUAGUGUCUGAGGCUGGGUUUGACCUCAGGUUUACUUGACUCCAGUCCUGGCAUUCUAUCCAUUGCACAAUCUAAGGUGCCUUAUAUGAACACAGUGGAAUAUUACUGUGCAAGAAGAGAUGGCAAAGGGGAUACAUAGGGAAGAUGUGUAUGAACUGAUGCAGAGUGAAGUGAGCAAACCAGUAGAACCAUUUAUACAGUAAUAAUAAUUUUGUAAAGACAAAUUUGAAAGUCUUAAGAAAUUUGAUUAUUACAGUGAAUUACGAUACCAGUAGAACUAUGAUGAAACCUUCUGUCCAUUUUAUGACAGAGAGGUGAUACCUCAAAUUUUGUUUUGUUCAGUUAUGUCUUUAUUGCAAGAAUUUUGCUCUUUCCCCCCCAAAUAGGGUGGGAGAGGAGUAAAGUGGGGAAGAGAGAAAAUAGAUUUAUUUAACUGAAAAAGAACUAAACUUGAUUUUUAAAAAAGGAAACAGUAGGGAAGAUGGAUUGGUUAGGGGGAAAACUCAAAGGAAGACAACCAGUUUGGAGAUUGUUGCAGUAGCGUCUGCCAAAAGAAAGGAGGACCUGAAGAAGGGUGGUUAUAUCAGCACUGGAGGGAAAAGUGGGAGAGAUCUUUUCAAGGUUGAGAGCUUGGUAAUUAAUUGGAUAUGGGGCAGGGCUUAUCAGGAAUGGGUAAGAGUUCAGGUUCUGAGCUUACAAACCCGAGUGACUGUGAAGAUGGUGGUAGUGCUAUGAACAGAAAUCAAAGCCUUAUGGGAAAGCACAGGUUUGGGGAAAGAGGGAAGAUGUUCAAUUUGUGGUGCUGGCCGUAAGGAGCUCUGGGGAAAGAUCAUGGAUGGCUAUGCGGAUGUGAGUGUCAGUACUUAAACUGAAAAGAUGAGCAAAGUAGUUCCCCGAGGGAGAGAAUGGAGGAAGACUUAAGAGGAAAGUCCAGGAGAGAACCUUGCUGCAUAUCUCUAGUUUUAUAAUGGAAGGAGAAUAGAAAGUCAGCACAAGAAAGAAAUGGUCAGAGAGGGAGAAGGAACAUGGAGUACGGGGUAUCACCAGGGAAGAGAUGUUGGUGACUGAGGCCAAUAUACACACCGGCUACUUAUGGCCCAAGAAGGUCAAAGACAAAAAAGAAAAGCUCUGUAUAUCUCUGUAUAUAUAAUACUUGUCUUAUAUAUACUCUCUCUAUUCCCAAUAGCACUUCUGGUAGGACAAAAACUAGAAAUGAAGUGGAUGCCUAGUGGUAGGUGACAAAUUGCUGUCUAAAUUGUGGCAGGUAAAUGGGAGAGGUAUGAAUUAUGGCCCCAAAAUAAGAAGCAGGAGGAAUUCCAAGCAACACAAUCCAGGGCACAUUAGUGCGUGCUAGGGAUACAAAAGCAGAUGAGAUAGUCCUUACCUCCAAGUUAUCUGGAUUCUGUUGAGGAGCUGCAUAUAACCUGUACACAUUCACCAUGACAAUCUAGACUCAAAAUCAAUCCAGGGACUAAGGACUGGGGAAAUCAUCAGGGGAGAGAUCUCUUGAAGGAGAAGGCAUUUGACCUGAACCUUAAAGGGAAGGAAAAGUCCCAAUUACUAGAGGUGAUUCCAGACAUGGGGUGACUUUCACUGUACAGAAGAAUGAAGGUGGAAGGGAGAGGGUCCAGUAAAUCAGCUUGGUUGUAGUGGAGAAUGCUGUGGGAGGAGCAAGAUACAGUCAGUUUGUAGUGUUCCUGACAAUUUUGCAAUUUAUCCCAAAGGCAAUAGCAUCCACCAGGGUUUCUGUACGGAGAUUAGUCCUGUCCUUACUAAUCCAGAUCCCUGCCUCAUAGUUGCCUGACCCCUUCUACAUUUAAGGAAUCAGCAUGGGAUAGUUGAAAGCUUGAACUAGGGUGUCUGUGGUGUGCAUGGAGGGAAGGGGUGGUGGUGGGGGUGACAUUGAUGAAAUUUAAAGUAAUUGGAUAUGAGGAGUGAGUGAACUGAGUGAAGGGCCAAGGAAGACUCCUAGCUUGGAAACCCGGAAAUGAGAAAAUGCUGAAGAUGGCUUGUAAAUUGCCAAACAUGGGAAGACUUGUUGGAACUGAGAAGAAGUGAAGAAAGUUGAACAGAAGAACAUACCCGAUGACUACAAUAAUGUCAACAAAAGCCAGCACUAAAGGACAUUAGAACAUGGAGGAGAUCCGGCACCAGAGGAUGGAACCCAGGACAUCUCAAAGCAGAAAUGGAGACUUCAGAAUUUACCAAGACUGGAAAAAUCAUCAAAUAUGGAAACCUGGUUUCUUCAAUCUACAGAAGAGCUCCAAGAUCUGCAGCCAGGGAAUGGACACCAGCAUGAGAACAUAAGUCCCAGAAAACACCUUUUGUAGCUCCGUGGGCCUGUGGUCGCCAUUAUCAUCAUCAUUGUCGACAUUAUUGUUGUCCUCGUCGUCGUCCUCAUCCUCGUCGUCACUGCUCCAUGCUGUCUGGACCAGAGUGAUCCUUCUUUGUAAUCCAAAGUCAAAUCUACAGAGAAAGCAUGGCCCAUGGUCACAAAGGGACAUUGCUGCUGCUGCUCAACACUGCCAGUGCCAUUAGAAUUCUAAAUUACUUGAGAAUGCCUCAUGGAUUUGGGCAAGUUCUCUUUCGUUUUCCAGUCUAUGAACUCCCCAGAGAUUCAAUCCAGUUGUUCUGGGUUUCCAUUUUCCCUAAAGUGAAGCCUUUACAUCUCGGAAAACUUUGACAGAAAGCUAAGAGCAAGACUCAAGAAUAGAACCCAGCAUUCCUAGCUAUUGCAUCCAGUGUUCAAUCAUAUUAACAAUUUCUUGAAAGAAACACUACUAAAUUAUGAUCAUGGCUGGCCAGCUCAGACAUAUUCUUCAAGUGUAAUUGAUAAAGAAUACUCAGGUGAAUUUGUGGAAGUAGAUCACUGCUUCCUCCUAAUCUUCCCUAGUGCUCCUCUUUUGGGGAACUGUUUUAAUUUGUUUCAGGAGUGGAAGUUCUUGCACCCCCUAAAAAACCCCAAGAUGGUGGAACAGAGAGAACAUUCCAGUGGAACUCUACCAACUUGCCUUUCCAAAAAACUUGAAAAUAUCAAAUAAUCAAAUUCUGAAGUGCCAUACAAAGAAAAAGUUUGUCCAGCUGAAAAAAAUGUUUGAGGUGAGGAGAAGUUUGGGUCACUGGCUCAGAAGGCAAAGGGAAGGGCACUUACUAUGGAUCUUGGAGGACGGGAGGCACAGUGAUAGCUGCAGGAAUAGUUGUCACAUUUCUUAAAGUUUUCACUGCCAAGAAACCAAGUAUUAGACAACUGCUAAAAAGGUGAUUAGGGGCAGCUCUGUGUGGGCACGGUAGACAUUACCAGUUUCACACAAAGGGGGAGAGAGGCCAAUGCCAUCACAAAAAACUGGUGGUAACACCUGGAGCUCCAGAGUGAAGACGAUCACUUGUUAUCACAAGUAAACACAUUCCCUGCUACUGCUCCAGGGUGAAGAGGAGCACCUGCCAGCAUGAUGACAAGGAAGAGGAAGUCCCCCCUGCAGCUACUAGGUGAAGAGACCUUGCUAUAACAAAAAAAGCAAUAGUCCCAGCUGCAUCUCAGGGGUGCAUAGAGGCCUUUCCCAUUACAACAAAGCAGAGGUAUCGGCUGCAGUUCCAGUUUGAAGAAGACCACUUUCCCAUCACAAGUAACCAGAAGUCCCAGCUGUGGGUCCAGGGUGAGGAAGAGCACUUGUCAUCACAAUUAAUCAGAAGUCCCUGCUGCUGCUCCAGGGUGAAGAACAACAGUUGCCACCACAAGUUACCAGAAGUCCCUGAUGCUGCUCCAGGGUGAAGAGGAGCACUUGCCAUCACAAGUAACUAGAAUUCCCUGUAACAAGCUCCAGGGUGAAGAGGAGCACUUGCCAUCACAAGCAAGUAGUGGUCCCAGCUGCAGCCAUGGGACGGAGAGAGGGCUUUGGCAUCACAACAAACCAGAGGUCCCAGUUGCAGCUCCAGUUAGAAGAAAAACACUUUGCAUCACAAGUCACCAGAAUUCCCAGCUGCGGGUCCAGGGUGAAGAAAAGAACUUGCCAUCACAAGUAGCCAGAAGUCCCUGCUGCUGCUCCAGGGGGAAGAGGAGAACUUGCCAUCAAAAUGAAGCAGAGGUCCCAGCUGCAGCUCUGGGGUGGAGAGAGGCCUUUGUCAUCACAACCAAGCAGAGGUCCCAGCUGCAGUUUGCAUUUGAAGAACACUUCCCAUCAUCACAAGAAACCAGAAGUCCCUGCUGCUACUCCAGGGUGAAGAAGAACAAUUGCCAUUACAAGUUACUAGAAGUACCUGCUGCAGCUCCAGGGAGAAGAGGAAGACUUGCCAUCACAAGUAACCAGAAGGCCCAGCUGCAGCUACUGGGUGAAGACCAAUUGCCAUCACAAAAAUGGAAAGAACGCAGCUGAAGCUCCAGGGUAGAGAGAGGCCUUUGCCAUCAAACCCAUGUAGAGGUCUCAGUUACAGCUCCAGGAUACAGAGAGGCCUUUGCCAUCACAACCAAGCAGAGGUACCAGCUGCAGAUCCAGGAUGGAGAGAGGCCUUUGCCAUCACAACCUAGCAGAGUUCUAAGCUGCAGCUCCCGUUGGAAGAAGAAAACUUGCCAUAACAAAUAACGGGAAAUCCCAGCUGCAGGUCCAGUGUGACGAAAAGAAAUUGCCAUCACAAGUUACCAAAAGUCCCUGCUGCUGCUCCACAGUGAAGCGGAAAACUGGCCACCACAAGUAACCAGAAGUCCCUGCUGCAGCUCCAGGGUGAAGAGCAACACUUGCCAUCACAAGUUACCAGAAGUCCUUGAUGCUGCUCCAGGGUGAAGAACAGCAGUUGCCAUCACAAGUUACAAGAAGUCCCUGCUGCUGCUCUAGGGUGAAGAUGAACACUUGCCAUCACAAGUUACCAGAAGUCCCUGCUUCUGCUCCACAAUGAAGAGGAACACUUGCCAUCACAAGUUAGCAGAAAUCUUUCCUGCAGCUACUGGUUGAAGAAGACCAAUUGCCCUAAGAAAAAUGCAGAGGACGCAGCUGCAGCUUAGGGAUGCAGAGAGGCCUUUGCCAUCACAACUAAGCAGAUGUGCAAGCUGCAACUCCCGUUUGAAGAGGAACACUUCCUAUCACCAAUAACUGGAAGUCCCAGGGCAAGGUCCAGUGUGAUGAAAAGAACUUGCUAACACAAGUAACCAGAAGUCCCUGCUGCUGCUCCAGGGUGAAGAGGAACACUUGUCAUCACAAGUAACCAGAAGUCACUGCUGUUGUCCAAGGGUGAAGACGAACACUUGCCAACACAAGUUAACAGAAGUCCCUGCUGCGGCUCCAGGGUGAACAGGACCACUUGCCAUCAAAAGUUACCAGAAGUCCCUGCUGCAGCUCCUUGGUGAAGAGGACCACUUGCCAUCACAAGUUACCAGAAGUCCCUGCUGCAGCUACAGGGUGAACAGGACCACUUGCCAUCAAAAGUUACCAGAAGUCCCUCCUGCAGUUCCAGGGUGAAGAGGAACACUUGCCAUCACAAGUUACCAGAAGUCCUUGAUGCUGCUCCAGGGUGAAGAACAACAGUUGCCAUCACAAGUUACAAGAAGUCCCUGCUGCUUAUCCAGAGUGAAGAUGAACACUUGCCAUCACAAGUUACCAGAAGUCCCGGCAGCAGCUGCAGGGUGAAGAGGAUCACUUGCCAUCAAAAGUUACCAGAAAUCUUUCCUGCAGCUACUGGGUGAAGAAGACCAAUUGCCCUAAGAAAAAUGCAGAGGACUCAGCUGCAGCUUAGGGAUGGAGAGAGGCCUUUACCAUCACAACUAAGCAGAUGUGCAAGCUGCAACUCCCGUUUGAAGAAGAACACUUCGUAUCACCAAUAACUGGAAGUCCCAGCGGCAGGUCCAGUGUGAUGAAAAGAACUUGCCACCACAAGUAACCAGAAGUCCCUGCUGCUGCUCCAGGGUGAAGAGGAACACUUGUCAGCACAACUUACCAGAAAUCCUUGCUGUAGCUCCAGGGUGAAGAAGACCACGUGUGACCACAAGUACCCAGAAGUCCCUGCUGCUGUUCUAGGGUGACGAGGAACACUUAUGACGCCAAGUAACCAGAAGUCCCUGCUGCUGCUCCAGGGUGAAAGGGAACACUUGCCAGCACAACUUACCAGAAGUCCCUGCUGCAGCUCCAGGGUAUAGAGGAACACUUGCCAGGUCAACUUACCAGAAGUCCCUGCUGCUGCUCCAGGGUGAAGAGGAACACUUGCCAGCAUAACUUACCAGAAGUCCCUGCUGCUGCUCCAGGGUGAAGAGGAAUACUUGCCAGCACAACUUACCAGAAGUCCCUUCUGCAGUUCCAGGGUGAAGAGGAACACUUGCCAUCACAAGUUACAAGAAGUCCCUGCUGCUUAUCCAGAGUGAAGAUGAACAUUUGCCAUCACAAGUUACCAGAAGUCCCUGCUGCAGCUCCCGGGUGAAGAGGACCACUUGCCAUCAAAAGUUACCAGAAAUCUGUCCUGCAGCUACUGGGAGAAGAAGACCAGUUGCCCUAAGAAAAAUGCAGAGGAUGCAGCUGCAGCUUAGGGUGUAGAGAGGCCUUUGCCAUCACAACAAAGAAACUGUCUCAGCUGCAGCUCCACGAUGGAGAGAGGCCUUUGCAAUCACAACUACACAGAUGUCCCAGCUGCAGCUUAUGGGUGGAGGGAGGCCUUUGCCAUCACAACUAAGCAGAGGUCUAAGCUGCAGCGCCCAUUUGAAGAAUAACACUUCCUAUCACCAACAACUGUAAGUCACAGUUGCAGGUCCAGUGUGACGAAAAGAACUUUCCACCACAAGUAACCAGAAGUCCCUGCUGCUGCUCCACAGUGAAGAGGAAGACUUGCCAUCACAAGUUAACAGAAGUCCCUGCUGCAGCUCCAGGGUGAAGAGUAACACUUGCCAUCACAAGUUAACAGAAGUCCUUGAUGCUGCUCCAGGGUGAAGAGUAACACUUGCCAUCACAAGUUAACAGAAGUCCUUGAUGCUGCUCCAGGGUGAAGAACAACAGUUGCCAUCACAAGUUAUAAGAAGUCCCUGCUGCUGCUCCAGGGUGAAGAUGAACACUUGCCAUCACAAGUUACCAGAAGUCCCUGCUACAGCUCCAGGGUGAAGAGGAACACUUGCCAUCACAAGUUACCAGAAGUCCCUGCAGCAGCUCCAGGGUGAAGAGGACCACUUGCCAUCACAAGUUACCAGAAGUCCCUGCUGCAGCUACAGGGUGAACAGGACCACUUGCCAUCAAAAGUUACCAGAAAUCUUUCCUGUAGCUACUGGGUGAAGAAGACCAAUUUCCCUAAGAAAAAUGCAGAGGACGCAGCUGCAGCUUAGGGGUGGAGAGAGGUCUUUGCUAUCAAAACAAAGUAGAGGUCUCAUUUAUCGCUCCAGGAGAGAAUGAGCCCUUUGCCAUCAGAACUACGCAGAUGGCCCAAGUGUAGCUUAGAAGUGGAGAGACCCCUUGGCCAUCACAACUAAACAGAGGUCCAAGCUGCAGCAACCGUUUGAAGAAGAACACUUCCUAUCACCAAUAACUUGAUGUCCCAGCUGCAGGUCCAUUGUGACAAAAAGAACUUGCCACCACUAGUAACCAGAAGUCCCUACUACAGCUCCAGGGUGAAGAGGAACAGUUGCCAGCACAACUUACCAGAAGUCCCUGCUACAGCUCCAGGGUGAAGAGGAACACUUGCCAGCACAACUUACCAGAAAGUUGUAGCUCCUUGCUGUAGCUCCAGGGUGAAGAAGACCACGUGUGACCACAAGUACCCAGAAGUGCCUGCUGCUGCUCUGGGGUGACAAGGAACACUUAUGACCCCAAGUAACCAGAAGUCCCUGCUGCCGCUACAGGGUGAAGAGAAACACUUGUCAUCACAAGUAACCAGAAAUCCCUGCUGCUGCCCUAGGCUGAAAAGGAACACUUGCCAACACAACUUACCAGAAGUCCCUGCUGCUGCUCCAGGGUGAAGAGGAAUACUUGCCAGCACAACUUACCAGAAGUCCCUGCUGCUGCUCCAGGGUGAAGAGGAACACUUGUGACCCCAAGUAACCAGAAGUCCCUACUGCCGCUGCUGGGUGAAGAGAAAAACUUGUCAUCACAAGUAAGCAGAAGUCCCUGCUGGAGCUCCAGGGUGAAGAGGACCACUUGCCAUGGAAUGUUAGCAGAAAUCGUUCCUGUAACUACUGGGUGAAGAAGACCAAUUGCCCUAAAAAAAAUGCAUAGGACACAGCUGCAGCUUAGGGUUGAGAGAGGCCUUUGCCAUCACAACUACAUAGAAGUGCCAGCUGCAGCUUAUGGGUGGAAGUAGGCCAUUCCCAUCACAACUAAGCGGAGGUCCAAGCUGUAGCUCCCGUUUGAGGAACACUUCCUAUCUCCAAUAACUGGACGUCCCACCUGUAGGUCCAGUGUGACGAAAAGAAUUUGCCACCACAAGUACCCAGAAUCCCUGCUGCUGCUCAAGGGUGAAGAACAACUGUUGCCAUCACAAGUUACCCUGAAGUCCCUGCUGCCGCUCCAGGGUGAAGAGGAACACUAGUCAACACAAGUAGCCAGAAAUCCCUGCUGCUGCUCCAGGGUGAAGAGAAACACUUUUCAUCACAAGUAACCAGCAAUCCCUGCUGCUGCUCCAGGUUGAAGAGGAACACUUGCCAGCACAACUUAACAGAAGUCCCUACUGCCGCUCCAGGGUGAAGAGGAACACUUGCCAUCACAACUUGCCAGAAGUCCCUUCUGCAUCUCCAGGGUGAAGAGGAACACUUCCCAUCACAAGUUAUUAUAAGUCCCUGUUGCAGCUCCAGGGUGAAGAGGAACACUUGCCAUCACAUGUUGUCAGAAGUCCCUUCUUAAGCUCCAGGGUGAAGAGGAAUAAUUGCGAACAUAAGUACCCCUAAUUCCUGCUGCUGCUCGAGGGCGAAGAACAACUGUUGCCAUCAGAUGUUGCCUGAAGUCCCUGCUGCCGCUCCAGGGUGAAGAGGAACACUUCUGACCACAAGUAACCAAAAGUCCCUGCUGCAGCUCUAGGGUGAAGAAGAACAUUUCUGACCACAAGUAACCAAAAGUCCCUGCUGCAGCUCCAGGGUGAAGAGGAACACUUGCCAUCACAAGUAACGAGAAAUCCCUGCUGCUGCUCCAGGGUGAAGAACAACAGUUGCCAUCACAUGUUGCCAGAAGUCCCUGCUGUUGGUCCAGGUUGACGACGAACACUUUUGAUCACAAGUAACCAGAAGUCCCUGCUGUAGUUCCAGGGUGAAGAGGAACACUUGUGAACAGAAGUACCCAGAAGUCCCUGCUGCUGCUCCAGGGUGAAGACGAACAAUUGUCAUCACAAGUAACCAGAAGUCCCUGCUGCGGCUCCAGGGGGAAGAGGACCACGUGCCAUGAAAUGUUACCAGAAAUCUUUCCUGAAGCUACUGGGUGAAGAAGACCAAAUUCCCUAAGAAAAAUGCAGAAGACACAGCUGCAGCUUAGGGGUGGAGAGAGGCCUUUGAUAUCACAACAAAUCAAAGGUCUCAGUUGCAGCUCUGGGUUGGACUGAGGUCUUUGCUAUCACAACCUAGCAGAGGUCUCAUUUACUGCUCCAGGAUAGAACGAGGCCUUUGCCAUCACAACUACGCAGACGUCCCAACUGCAGCUUAGGGGUGGAGAGAGGCCUUUGCCAUCCCAACCAAGUAAAGGUCCAAGCUGCAGCUCCCCUUUGAAGAAGAACACUUCCUAUCACCAAUAACUAGACGUCCCAGCUGCAUGUCCAGUGUGAGAAAAAGAACUUGCCAACACAAGUAACCAGAAAUCCCUGGUGCUGCUCCAGGGUGAAGAACAACAGUUGCCAUCACAACUUGCCGAAGUCCCUGCUGCUGCUCGAGGGUGAAGACAAACACUUGUCAUCACAAGUAACCAGAGUUCCCUGCUGCAGCUCCAGGGUGAAGACGAACAGUUGUCAUCACAAGUACCCAGAAGUCCCUGCUGCUGCUCCAGGGUGACGAACAAUAGUUGCCAUUAAAAGUUGCCUGAAGUCCCUGCAGCUUUUCCAAGGUGAAGAGGAACUCUUGCCAUCACAAGUUACCAGAAGUCCCGGCUGCUGCUCCAAGGUGAAGAGGACCACGUGCCCUGAAAUCUUUUCUGAAACUACUGGGUGAUGAAGAUUAAAUUCCCUAAGAAAAAUGCAGAAGACACAUCUGCAGCUUACGGGUGGAGAGAGGCCUUUGAUAGCACAACAAAUCAGAGGUCGCAGUUGCACCUCUGGGUUGGACAGAGGUCUUUGCUAUCACAACCUAGCAGAGGUCUCAUUUACCGCUCCAGGAUAGAACGAGGCCUUUGCCAUCACAACUACGCAGACUUCCCAACUCCAGCUUAGGGGUGGAGAGAGGUCUUUGCCAUCACAACUAAGCAGAGGUCCAAGCUGCACCUCCUGUUUGAAGAACACUUCCUAUCACCAAUAACUAAAUGUCCCAGCUGCAGGUCCAGUGUGAAGAAAAGAACUUGCCUCCACAAGUAACAAGAAGUCCCUCCUGCUGCUCCAGGGUGAAAAACAAUAUUUGCCAUCACAAGUUGCCAGAAGUCCCUGCUGCUGCUUCAGGGUGAAGAGGAACACUUGUGACCACAAGUACCCAGAAAUCCCUGCUGCUACUCCAUGGUGAAGAACAACAGUUGCCAUCACAAGUAAUCAGAAGUCCCUGCUGUACCUCCAGGGUGAAGAGGAACACUUGUGAUCACAAGUAACCAAAAGUCCCUCCUGCAGCUCCAAGGUGAAGAGGAACAACUUGCCAUCAAAAGUUACCAGAAGGCCCUGCUGUAGCUCCAGGGUGAAGAGGAAAAGUUGUGACCACAAGUACCCAGAGGUCCCUGCUGCUGCUCCAGGGUGAAGAGGAACACUUGUGACCCCAAGUAACCAGAAGUCCCUGCUGCCGCUACAGGGUGAAGAGAAACACUUGUCAUCACAAGUAACCAGAAAUCCCUGCUGCUGCCCUAGGUUGAAAAGGAACACUUGCCAGCACAACUUACCAGAAGUCCCUGCUGCAGCUCCAGGGUAUAGAGGAACAAUUGCCAGGUCAAUUUACCAGAAGUCCCUGCUGCUGCUCUAGGGUGAAGAGGAACACUUGCCAGCACAACUUACCCGAAGUCCCUGCUGCAGCUCCAGCGUAUAGAGGAACACUUGCCAGGUCAACUUACCAGAAGUCCCUGCUGCUGCUCCAGGGUGAAGAGGAACACUUGUGACCCCAAGUAACCAGAAGUCCCUGAAGCCGCUACAGGGUGAAGAGAAACACUUGUCAUCACAAGUAACCAGAAAUCCCUGCUGCUGCUCCAGGUUGAAGAGGACCACUUGCCAUCAAAUGUUAGCAGAAAUCUUUCCUGUAACUACUGGGUGAAGAAGACCAAUUGCCCUAAGAAAAAUGCAUAGGACAGAGCUGAAGCUUAGGGUUGAGAGAGGCCUUUGCCAUCACAACUACAUAGAUGUGCCAGCUGCAGCUUAUGGGUGGAAGGAGGCCAUUCCCAUCACAACUAAGCAGAGGUCCAAGCUGUAGCUCCUGUUUGAAGAACACUUCCUAUCUCCAAUAACUGGACGUCCCACCUGUAGGUCCAGUUUGACGAAAAGAACUUGCCACCACAAGGAACCAGAAGUCCCUGCUGCAUCUCCAGGGUGACGAGGAAUACUUGUGACCACAAGUACCCAGAAUCCCUGCUGCUGCUCAAGGGCAAAGAACAACUGUUGCCAUCACAAGUUACCCUGAAGUCCCUGCUGCCACUCCAGGGUGAAGAGGAACACUAGUCAACACAAGUAGCCAGAAGUCCCUCCUGCUGCUCCAGGGUGAAGAGGAACACUUGCCAUCACAACUUGCCAGAAGUCCCUGCUGCAGCUCCACGGUGAAGAGGAACACUUGCCAUCACAUGUUGUCAGAAGUCCCUUCUUAAGCUCCAGGGUGAAGAGGAAUAAUUGCGACCAUAAAUACCCCUAAUUCCUGCUACUGCUCGAGGGCAAAGAACAACUGUUGCCAUCACAUGUUGCCUGAAGUCCCUGCUGCCGCUCCAAGGUGAAGAGGAACACUUGUGACCACAAGUACGCAGAAGUCCCUGCUGCUGCACCAGGGUGAAGAAAAACAGUUGCCAUUACAAGUUGCCAGAAGUCCCUGCUGCACCUCCAGGGUGAAGAGGAACACUUGUGACCACAAGUAACCAGAAGUCCUUGCUGCAGCUCCAGGGUGAAGAGGAACACUUGCCAUCACAAGUAACGAGAAAUCCCUGCUGCUGCUCCAGGGUGAAGAACAACAGUUGCCAUCACAUGUUGCCAGAAGUCCCUGCUGCUGGUCCAGGGUGACGACAAACACUUUUGAUCACAAGUAACCAGAAGUCCGUGCAUUAGUUCCAGGGUGAAGAGGAACAUUUGUGAACAGAAGUACCCAGAAGUCCCUGUUGCUGCUCCAGGGUGAAGAAGAACACUUGUGACCACAAGUAUCCCAAAGUCUCUGCUGCUGCUCCAGGGUGAAGACGAACAAUUGUCAUCACAAGUAACCAGAAGUCCCUGCUGUAGCUCCAGGGUGAAGAGGAACACUUGUGACCACAAGUACCCAGAAGUCCCUGCUGCUGCUCCAGGGUGAAGAACAACAGUUGCCAAUACAAGUUGCCUGAAGUCCCUGCUGCUGCUCCAAGGUGAAGAGGACCACGUGCCAUGAAAUGUUACCAGAAAUCUUUCCUGAAGCUACUGGAUGAAGAAGACCAAAUUCCCUAAGAAAAAUGCAGAAGACACAGCUGGAGCUUAGAGGUGUAGAGAGUCCUUUGAUAUCACAACAAAUCAAAGGUCUCAGUUGCAGCUCUUGGUUGGACUGAGGUCUUUGCCAUCACAACCUAGCAGAGGUCUCAUUUACUGCUCCAGGACAAAACGAGGCCUUUGCCAUCACAACUACGCAGACGUCCCAACUGCAGCUUAGGGGUGGAGAGAGGCCUUUGCCAUCCCAACCAAGUAAAGGUCGAAGCUGCAGUUACCCCUUUGAAGAAGAACACUUCCUAUCACCAAUAACUAGACGUCCCAGCUGCAUGUCCAGUGUGACAAAAAGAACUUCCCAACACAAGUAACCAGAAAUCCCUGGUGCUGCUCCAGGGUGAAGAACAACAGUUAACAUAACAUAUAACCAGAAGUCCAUGCUGCUACUCCAUGGUGAAGAACAACAGUUGCCAUCACAAGUUGCCAGAAGUCCCUGCUGCUGCUCGAGGGUGAAGACGAACACUUAUCAUCACAAGUAACCAGAAGUCCCUGCUGCAGCUCCAGGGUGAAGUCGAACAGCUGUAAUCACAAGUACCCAGAAGUCCCUGCUGCUGCUCCAGGGUGACGAACAAUAGUUGCCAUUACAAGUUGCCUGAAGUCCUUGUAGCUUUUCCAACGUGAAGAGGAACUCUUGCUAUCAGAAGUUAGCAGAAGUCCCGGUGGUAGCUCCAAGGUGAUGAGGAACACUUGUCAUCACAAGUACCCAGAAGUCCCUGCUGCUGCUCUAGGGUGAAGAAUAACAGUUUCCAUUACAAGUUGACUAAAGUCCCUGCUGCUGUUCCAAGGUGAAGAGGACCAUGUGCCCUGAAAUCUUUUCUAAAUCUACUAGGUGAUGAAGACUAAAUUCCCUAAGAAAAAUGCAGAAGACACAGCUGCAGCUUACGGGUCGAGAGAGGCCUUUGAUAGCACAACAAAUCAGAGGUCGCAGUUGCACCUCUGGGUUGGACAGAGGUCUUUGCUAUCACAACGUAGCAGAGGUCUCAUUUACCGCUCCAGGAUAGAACGAGGCCUUUGCCAUCACAACUAAGCAGAGGUCCAAGCUGCACCUCCCAUUUGAAGAAUACUUCCUAUCACCAAUAACUAAAUGUCCCAGCUGCAGGUCCAGUGUGAAGAAAAGAACUUGCCUCCACAAGUAACCAAAAGUCCCUCCUGCUGCUCCAGGGUGAAAAACAAUAUUUGCCAUCACAAGUUGCCAGAAAUCCCUGGUGCUACUCCAGGGUGAAGAACAAUAGUUAACAUAACAUGUAACCUGAAGUCCCUGCUGCUGCUUCAGGGUGAAGAGGAACACUUGUGACCACAAGUACCCAGAAAUCCCUGUUGCUACUCCAUGGUUAAGAACAACAGUUACCAUCACAAGUUGCCAGAAGUCCCUGCUGUUGCUCCAGGGUGAAGAGGAACACAUGUGAUCACAAGUAACCAAAAGUCCCUCCUGCAGCUCCCAGGUGAAGAGGAACACUUGCCAUCAAAAGUUACCAGAAGUCCCUGCUGCAGCUCCAGGGUGAAGACGAACAUUUGUCAUCACAAGUAAUCAGAAGUCCCUGCUGUAGCUCCAGGGUGAAGAGGAACACUUGUGAGCAAAAGUACGCAGAAGUCCCUGCUGCUGCUGCAGGGUGAAGAGGAACACUUGUGACCACAAGUAACCAGAAUUCCCUGCUGAUGCUCUAGGGUGAAGAGGAAUACUUGUCAUCACAUGUUACCAGAAGUUCCUGCUGCAGGUCCAGGGUAAAGACGAACACUUGUGACCAUAAGUACCCAGAAGUCCCUGCUGCUGCUCCAGGGUGAAGAACAACAGUUUCCAUUACAAGUUCCCUGAAGUCCCUGCUGCUGCUCCAAGGUGAAGAAGACCACCUGCCAUGAAAUGUUACUAGAAAUCUUACCGGAAGCUACUAGGUGAAUAUGACCAAAUUCCCUAAGAAAAAUGCAGAAGACGCAGCUGCAGCUUAGGGGUGGAGAGAGGCCUUUGCCAUCACAACCAAGCAGAGGUCCAAGCUGCAGCUCCUGUUUGAAGAAGAACCCUUCCUAUCACCAAUAACUGGACAUCACAGCUGCAGGUCCAGUGUAAAGAAAAGAACUUGCCUCCACAAGUAUCGAGAAGUCCCUCCUGCUGCUCCAGGGUGAAGAACAACUGUUGCCAUCAAAAGUUACCAGAAGUCCCUGCUGCAGCUCCAGGGUGAAGACGAACAUUUGUCAUCACAAGUAAUCAGAAGUCCCUGCUGUAGCUCCAGGGUGAAGAGGAACACUUGUGAGCAAAAGUACCCAGAAGUCCCUGCUGCUGCUGCAGGGUGAAGAGGAACACUUGUGACCACAAGUACCCAGAAGUCCCUGCUGCUGCUGCAGGGUGAAGAGGAACACUUGUGACCACAAGUAACCAGAAUUCCCUGCUGACGCUCUAGGGUGAAGAGGAAUACUUGUCAUCACAUGUUACCAGAAGUUCCUGCUGCAGGUCCAGGGUAAAGACGAACACUUGUGACCAUAAGUACCCAGAAGUCCCUGCUGUACCUCCAGGGUGAAGAACAACAGUUUCCAUUACAAGUUCCCUGAAGUCCCUGCUGCUGCUCCAAGGUGAAGAAGACCACCUGCCAUGAAAUGUUACUAGAAAUCUUACCGGAAGCUACUAGGUGAAGACGACCAAAUUCCCUAACAAAAAUGCAGAAGACGCAGCUGCAGCUUAGGGGUGGAGAGAGGCCUUUGCCAUCACAACAAAGCAGAGGUCCAAGCUGCAGCCCCUGUUUGAAGAAGAACCCUUCCUAUCACCAAUAACUGGACAUCACAGCUGCAGGUCCAGUGUAAAGAAAAGAACUUGCCUCCACAAGUAUCGAGAAGUCCCUCCUGCUGCUCCAGAGUGAAGAACAACUGUUGCCAUCACAAUUUGCCAGAAGCCCCUGCUACUGCUCCAGGGUGAAGAGGAACACUUGUGACGACAAGUAACCAGAAGUCCCUGCUGACGCUCUAGGUUGAAGAGGGAUACUUGCCAUCACAAGUUACCAGAUGUCCCUGCUGCAGCUCCAGGGUGAAGAGCAACACUUGCCAUCAAAGGUUACCAGAAAUCUUUCCUGUAGCUACUGGGUGAAGAAGACCAAUUACCCCAAGAAAAAUGCAGAGGACGCAGCUGCAGAUUAAGGGUGGAGAGAGGCCUUUUCUAUCAAAACAAAGCAGAGAUCUCAGCUGCAGCUCCAAGAUGGAGAGAGGCGUUUUCCAUCACAACUACAUAGAUGUCCCAGCUGCAGCUUAAGGAUGGAUGUAGGCCUUUGCUAUCACAACUAAGCAGAAGUCCAAGCUGCACCUCCCGUUUGAAGAAAAACACUUCAUAUUCCCCAUAACUAUACGUCCCAGUUGCAUGUCCAGUGUGACAAAAAGAUCUUGCCACCACAAGUAACCAGAAGUCCCUGGUACUGCUCCAGGGUGAAGAACAACAGUUAACAUAACAUGUAAGCAGAAGUCCCUGCUGCUACUCCAGGGUGAAGAACAACAGUUGUCAUCACAAGUAACCAGAAGUCCCUGCUGCUGCUCCAGGGUGAAGAACAACAGUUACCAUUACAAAUUGCCUGAAGUCCCUGCUGCUGCUCCAAGGUGAGGAGGAACACUUGCCAUCACAAGUUACCAGAAGUCCCUGAUGUAGCUCCAGGGUGAAGAGGAACACUUGUGAUCACAAGUUACCAGAAGUCCCUGCUGCUGCUCCAAGGCGAAGAGGAUGACUUGUGACCACAAGUACCCAGAAAUCCCUGCUGCUGCUCCAGGGUGAAGAACAACAGUUGCCAUUACAAGUUGCCUGAAGUACCUGCUGCUGCUCCCAGGUGAAGAGGAACACUUGCCAUCACAAGGUACCAGAAGUCACAGCUGUAGGUCCAGGGUGAAGAGGAACACUUGUGAUCACAAGUUACCAGAAGUCCCUCCUGCUGCUUCAGCGUGAAGAACAACAGUUUCCAUUACAAGUUGCCUGAAGUCCCUGCUGCUGCUCCAAGGUGAAGAGGACCACGUGCCAUGAAAGGUUACUAGAAAUCUUUCCUGAAGCUAGUGGGUGAAGAAGACCAAAUUCCCUAAGAAAAAUGCAGAAGAUACAGCUGUAGCUUAGGGGUGGAGAGAGAAGGCUUUGAUAUCAUAACAAAUCAGAGGUCUCAGUUGCAGCUCUGGGUUGGACAGAGGUCUUUGCUAUCGCAACCUAGCAGAGGUCUCAUUUACCAUUUCAGGAUAGAACGAGGCCUUUGCCAUCACAACUACGCAGACGUCUCAACUGCAGCUUAGGGGUGGAGAGAGGCCUUUGCCAUCACAACUAAGCACAGGUCUCAGCUGCAGUUCUAGGAAGUAGAGACACCUUUGCCAUCACAACCAAGAAGCUGUCUCAGCUGCAGCUCCAAGAUGGAGAGAGGCCUUUGCCAUCACAACUAAGCAGAAGUCCAAGCUGCACCUCCCGUUUGAAGAAGAACACUUCCUAUCACCAAUAAGUAGAUGUCCCAGCUGCAGGUCCAGUGUGAAGAAAAGAACUUGCCUCCACAAGUAAUGAGAAGUCCCUCCUGCUGCUCCAGGGUGAAAAACAACAUUUGCCAUCAUAAGUUGCCAGAAGUCCCAGCUGACGCUACAGGGUGAAGAGGAAUACUUGCCAUUACAAGUUACUAGAAGUCCCUGCUGCAGCUCCAGGGUGAAGAGCAACCUUUGCCAUCACAGGUUGCCAGAAGUCCCUGCUGUAGCUCCAGGGUGAAGAGGAACACUUGUGAUCACAAGUUACCAGAAGCCCCUGCUGCUGCUCCAGGGUGAAGAGGAACACUUGUGACCACAAGUACCCAGAAGUCCCUGCUGCUACUCCAGGGUGAAGAACAACAGUUGCCAUUACACGUUGCCUGAUGUACCUGCUGCUGUUCCAAGGUGAAGACGAACACUUGCCAUCACAAGUUACCAGAAGUCCCUGCUGUAGAUCCAGGGUGAAGAGGAACACUUGUGAUCACAAGUUACCAGAUGUCCCUGCUGCUGCUCCAGGGUGAAGAACAACAGUUUCCAUUACAAGUUGCCUAAAGUCCCUGCUGCUGCUCCAAGGUGAAGAGGACCAAGUGCUAUGAAAUGUUACCAGAAAUCUUUCCUGAAGCUAGUGGGUGAAGAAGACCAAUUUCGCUAAGAAAAAUGCAGAAGACACAGCUGCAGCUUAGGGGUGGAGAGAGGCCUUUGAUAUCAUAACAAAUCAGAGGUCCAAGCUGCAGCUCCCGUUUGAAGAAGAACACUUACUAUCACCAAUAACUGGACAUCACAGCUGCGGGUCCAGUGUGAAGAAAAGCACUUGCCUCCAAAAGUAACCAGAAGUCCCUCCUGCUGCUCUAGGGUGAAGAACAACAGUUGCCAUCACAAGUUGCCAGAAGUCCCUGCUGCUGCUCCAGGGUGAAGAGGAACACUUGUGAUGUCAAGUAACCAGAAGUCCCUGCUGACGCUCCAGGGUGAAGAGGAAUACUUGCCAUCACAAGUUACCAGAAGUCCCUGCUGCAGCUCCAGGGUGAAGAGCAACACUUGCCAUCACAAGUUACCAGAAGUCCCUGCUGUAGCUCCAGGGUGAAGAGGAACACUUGCGAUCACAAGUUACCAGAAGUCCCUGCUGCUGCUCUAGGGUGAAGAAUAACAGUUGCCAUCACAAUUUGCCAGAAGUCCCUGCGGCUGCUCCAGGGUGAAGAACACUUGUGGCGACAAGUAAACAGAAGUUCCUGCUGACGCUCCAGGGUGAAGAGGAACACUUGUGACCACAAGUACCCAGAAGCCCCUGCUGUAGCUCCAGGGUGAAGAGGAACACUUGUGACCACAAGUACCCAGAAGUCCCUGCUGCUGCUCCAGGGUGAAGAACAAGAUUUGCCAUUACAAGUUGCCUGAUGUACCUGCUGCUGCUCUAAGGGGAAGAGGAACACUUGGCGUCACAAGUUACCAGAAGUCCCUGCUGCUGCUCCAGGGUGAAGAACAACAGUUGCCAUUACAAGUUACCAGAAGUCCCUGCUGUAGCUCCAGGGUGAAGAGGAACACUUGUGAUCACAAGUUACCAGAAGCCCCUGCUGCUGCUCCAGGGUGAAGAGGAACACUUGCCAUCAAAAGUUACCAGAAGUCCCUGCUGUAGCUCCAGGGUGAAGAGGAACACUUGUGAUCACAAGUUACCAGAAGUCCCUGCUGCUGCUCUAGGGUGAAGAACAACAGUUGCCAUUACAAGUUGCCUGAAGUCCCUGCUGCAGCUCCAGGGUGAAGAGGAACACUUGCCAUCACAAGUUACCAGAAGUCCCUGCUGUAGUUCCAGGUUGAAGAGGAACAUCUGUGACCAUAAGUAACCUGAAGUCCCUGGUGCUGCUCCAGGGUGAAGAACAACAGUUGCCAUUACAAGUUGCCUGAAGUCCCUGCUGCUGCUCCAAGGUGAAGAGGAACACUUGCCAUCACAAGUUACCAGAAGUCCCUGCUGCAGCUCCAGGGUGAAGAGCAACACUUGCCAUCACAAGUUACCAGAAGUCCCUGCUGCAGCUCCAGGGUGAAGAGCAACACUUGCCAUCACAAGUUACCAGAAGUCCCUGCUGCAGCUCCAGGGUGAAGAGCAACACUUGCCAUCACAAGUUACCAGAAGUCCCUGCUGCAGCUCCAGCGUGAAGAGCAACACUUGCCAUCACAAGUUACCAGAAGUCCCUGAUGCUGCUCUAGGGUGUAGAAUAACAGUUUCCAUUACAAGUUGACUAAAGUCCCUACUGCUGUUCCAAGGUGAAGAGACCACGUGCCAUGAAAUGUUACCAGAAAUCUUUCCUGAAGCUACUGGGUGAAGAAGACCAAUUUCCCUAAGAAAAAUGCAGAAGACACAGCUGCAGCUUAGGGGUGGAGAGAGGCCUUUGAUAUCACAACAAAUCAGACGUCUCAGUUGCAGCUCUGGGUUGGACAGAGGUCUUUGCUAUCACAACCUAGCAUAGGUCUCAUUUACCGCUCCAGGAUAGAACGAGGCCUUUGCCAACCACAACUACGCAGGCGUCACAACUGCAGCUUAGUGGUGGAGAGCGGCCUUUGCUAUUACAACCAAGCAGAGGUCCAAGCUGCAGCUCCCGCUUGAAGAAGAACACUUCCUAUCACCAAUAAGUGGACUUCACAGCUGCAGCUCCAGUGUGAAGAAAAGGACUUUCCUCCAAAAGUAACCAGAAGUCCCUCCUGCUGCUCUAGGGUGAAGUACAACAGUUGCCAUCACAAGGUGCCAGAAGUCCCUGUUGCUGCUCCAGGGUGAAGAGCAACACUUGCCAUUACAAGUUACCAGAAGUCCCUGUUGCAGCUCCAGGGUGAAGAGCAACACUUGCCAUCACAAUUUGCCAGAAGUCCCUGCUGCAGCUCCAUGGUGAAUACGAACAUUUGCCAUCAAAAGUUACCAGAAAUCUUUCCUGUAGCUACUGGGUGAAGAUGACCAAUUACCCCAAGAAAAAUGCAGAGGACGCAGCUUCAGAUUAGGGGUGGAGACAGGCCUUUUCUAUCAAAACAAAGCAGAGGUCUCAGCUACAGCUCCGGGGUGGAGAGAGGCCUUUGCCAUCAGAAGAAAGCAGAGGUCUCAGCUGUAGUUCUAGGAUGUAGAGACACCUUUGCCAUCACAACCAAGAAGCUGUCUCAGCUGCAGCUCCCAGAUGGAGAGAGGCCUUUGCCAUCACAACUAAGCAGAAGUCCAAGCUGCAGCUCCUGUUUGAAGAAGAACACUUCCUAUCAGCAAUAAUUAGACGUCCCAGCUGCAUGUCCAGUGUGACAAAAAAACUUGUCACCACAAAUAACCAGAAUUUCCUGCUGCAGCUCCAGGGUGAAGACGAACACUUGUCAUCACAAGUAACCAGAAGUCCCUGCUGUAGCUCUAGGGUGAAGAGGAACACUUGUGAUCCUAAGUUACCAGAAGUCCCUGCUGUAGCUCCAGGGUGAAGAGGAACACUUGUGAUCAAAAGUUACCAGAAGUCCCUGCUGCUGCUCCAGGGUGAAGAACAACAGUUUCCAUUACAAGUUGCCUAAAGUCCCUGCUGCUGCUCCAAGGUGAAGAGGACCAAGUGCUAUGAAAUGUUACCAGAAAUCUUUCCUGAAGCUUGUGGGUGAAGAAGACCAAUUUCGCUAAGAAAAAUGCAGAAGACACAGCUGCAACUUAGGGGAGGAGAGAGGCCUUUGAUAUCGCAACAAAUCAGAGGUCUCAGUUGUAGCUCUGGGUUGGACAGAGGUCUUUGCUAUCACACCCUAGCAGAGGUCUCAUGUACCGCUACAAGAUAGAGUGAGGCCUUUGCCAUCACAACUACGCAGACGUCCCAACUGCACCUUAGGGGUGGAAAGAGGCCUUUGCCAUCACAACCAAGCAGAAGUACAAGCUGCACCUCCCGCUUGAAGAUGAACACUUCCUAUCACCAAUAACUGAACAUUACAUCUGCAGGUCCAGUGUGAAGAAAAGAACUUGCCUCCACAAGUAACCAGAAGUCCCUCCUCCUGCUCUAGGGUGAAGAACACCAGUUCCCAUCACAAUUUGCCAGAAGUCCCUGCGGCUGCUCCAGGGUGAAGAACACUUGUGGCGACAAGUAAACAGAAGUUCCUGCUGACGCUCCAGGGUGAAGAGCAACAGUUGCCAUUACAAGUUACCAGAAGUCCCUGCUGUAGCUCCAGCGUAAAGAGGAACACUUGUGAUCACAAGUACCCAGAAGUCCCUGCUGUAGCUCCAGCGUGAAGAGGAACACUUGUGACCACAAGUACCCAGAAGUCCCUGCUGCUGCUCCAGGGUGAAGAACAACAGUUGCCAUUACAAGUUGCCUGAUGUACAUGCUGCUGCUCCAAGGUGAAGAGGAACACUUGCCAUCACAAGUUACCAGAAGUCCCUGCUGUAGCUCCAGGGUGAAGAGGAACACUUGUGAUCACAAGUUACCAGAAGUCCCUGCUGUAGCUCCAGGGUGAAGAGGAACACUUGUGAUCACAAAUUACCAGAAGUCCCUGCUGCUCCUCUAGGGUGAAGAAUAACAGUUUCCAUUACAAGUUGACUAAAGUCCCUGCUGUUGCUCCAAGGUGAAGAGGUCCAAGUGCCAUGAAAUGUUGCCAGAAAUCUUUCCUGAAGAUACUGGGUGAAGAAGACCAAUUUCCCUAAGAAAAAUGCAGAAGACAUAGCUGCAGAUUAGUGGUGGAGAGAGGCCUUUGAUAUCACAACAAAUCAGAGGUCUCAGUUGCAGCUCUGGGUUGGACAGAGGUCUUUGCUAUCACAACCUAGCAGAGGUGCCAUAUACCGCUCCAGGAUAGAAUGAGGCCUUUGCCAUCACAACCAAGCUGAGGUCCAAGCUGCAGCUCCCGUUUGAAGAAGAACACUUAAUAUCACCAAUACCUGGACAUCACAGCUGCGGGUCCAGUGCGAAGAAAAGCACUUGCCUCCAAAAGUAACCAGAAGUCCCUCCUGCUGCUCUAGGGUGAAGAACAACAGUUGCCAUUACAAGUUGCCAGAAGUCACUGCUGCUGCUCCAGGGUGAAGAGGAACACUUGUGAUGACAAGUAACCAGAAGUCCCUGCUGACGCUCCAGGGUGAAGAGGAACACUUGCCAUCACAAGUUACCAGAAGUCCCUGCUGCAGUUCCAGGGUGAAGAGCAACACUUGCCAUCAAUAGUUACCAGAAGUCCCUGCUGUAGCUCCAGGGUGAAGAGGAACACAUGUGAUCACAAGUUACCAGAAGUCCCUGCUGCUGCUCUAGGGUGAAGAAUAACAGUUUCCAUUACAAGUUGACUAAAGUCCCUGCUGCUGUUCCAAGGUGAAGAGGACCACGUGCCAUGAAAUGUUUCUAGAAAUCUUUCCUGAAGCUACUGGGUGAAGAAGACCAAUUUCCCUAAGAAAAAUGCAGAAGACACAGCUGCAGCUUAGUGGUGGAGAGAGGCCUUUGCCAGUACAACCAAGCAGAGGCCCAAGCUGCAGCUCCCGUUUGAAGAAGAACACUUCCUAUCACCAAUACGUGGACAUCACAGCUGCAGUUCCAGUGUGAAGAAAAGCACGUGCCUCCAAAAGUAACCAGAAGUCCCUCCUGCUGCUCUAGGGUGAAGAACAACAGUUGCCAUCACAAGUUCCCAGAAGUCCCUGCUGCAGCUCCAGGGUGAAGAGCAACACUUGCCAUCACAAGUUACCGGAAGUCCCUGCUGUAGCUCCAGGGUGAAGAGGAACACUUGUGAUCACAAGUUACCAGAAGUCCCUGCUGCUACUCCAGGGUUAAGAACAAAAGUUGCCAUCACAAGUUGCCAGAAGUCCCUGCUGCUGCUCCAGGGUGAAGAACAACAGUUCCCAUGACAAGUUGCCAGAAGUCCCUGCUGUUGCUCCAGGGUGAAGAGGAACACUUGUGACCACAAGCAACUAGAAGUCCCUGCUGACGCUCCAGUGUGAAGAGGAAUACUUGCUAUCACAAGAUACCAGAAGUUCCUGCUGCAGCUCCAGGGUGAAGAGGAACACUUGUCAUCAAAAGUAUCCAGAAGUCCCUGCUGUAGCUCCAGGGUGAAGAGGAACACUUGUUAUCACAAGUACCCAGAAGUCCCUGCUGCCGCUCCAGGUUGAAGAGCAAGACUUGUCAUCCUAAGUUGCCAGAAGUCCCUGCUGUAGCUCCAGGGUGAAUAGGACCAUUUGCCAUCAAAAGUUACCAGAAAUCUUUCCUGUAGCUACCGGGUGAUGAAGACCAAUUACCCCAAGAAAAAUGCAGUGGACCCAGCUGCAGAUUAGGGGGGGAGAGAGGCCUUUUCUAUCAAAACAAAGCAGAGGUCUCAGCUACAGCUCAGUGGUGGAGAGAGGCCUUUGCUAUCAGAAGAAAGCAGAGGUCUCAGCUGCAGUUCCAGGAUGCAGAGACAAAUUUUCCAUCACAACCAAGCAGCUGUCUCAGCUGCAGCUCCAAGAUGGAGAGAGGCCUUUGCCAUCACAACCAAGCAGAGGUCCAAGCUGCAGCUCCCAUUUGAAGAAGAACACUUACUAUCACCAAUAACUGGACAUCACAGCUGCAGGUCCAGUGUGAAGAAAAGCACUUGCCUCCAAAAGUAACCAGAAGUCCCUCCUGCUGCUCUAGGGUGAAGAAUAACAGUUGCCAUCACAAGUUGCCAGAAGUCCCUGCUGCUGCUCCAGGGUGAAGAGGAACACUUGUGAUGACAAGUAACCAGAAGUCCCUGCUGACGCUCCAGGGUGAAGAGGAAUACUUGCCAUCACAAGUUACCAGAAGUCCCUGCUGCAGCUCCAGGGUGAAGAGCAACACUUGCCAUCACAAGUUACCAGAAGUCCCUGCUGUACCUCCAGGGUGAAGAACAACAGUUUACAUUACAAGUUGCCUAAAGUCCCUGCUUCUGCACCAAGGUGAAGAGGACCACGUGCCAUGAAAUGUUACCAGAAAUCUUUCCUGAACAUAAUGGGUGAAGAGGACCACGUGCCAUGAAAUGUUACCAGAAAUCUUUCCUGAAGCUAAUGGGUGAAGAAGACCAAUUUCCCUAAGAAAAAUGCAGAAGACACAGCUGCAGCUUAGGGGUGGAGAGAGGCCUUUGAUAUCAUAACAAAUCAGAGGUCUCAGUUGCAUCUCUGGGUUGGACAGAGGUCUUUGCUAUCACAACCUAGCAGAGGUGUCAUAUACCGCUCCAGGAUAGAAUGAGGCCUUUGCCAUCACAACUACGCAGACGUCCCAACUGCAGCUUAGGGGUGGAGAGAGGCCUUUGCCAUCACAACCAAGCAGAGGUCCAAGCUGCAGCUCCCGUUUGAAGAAGAACACUUCCUAUCACCAAUAAGUGGACCUCACAGCUGCAGGUCCAGUGUGAAAAAAAGCACUUGCCUCCAAAAGUAACCAGAAGUCCCUUCUGCUGCUCUAGGGUGAAGAACAACAGUUGCCAUCACAAGUUGCAAGAAGUCCCUGCUGCUGCUCCAGGGUGAAGGGGAAAACUUUUGACCACAAAUACCCAGAAGUCCCUGCUGCUGCUCCAGGGUGAAGAGGAACACUUGCCAUCACAAGUUACCAGGAGUCCCUGCUGCAUCUCCAGGGUGAAGAGGAACAGUUGCCAUCACAAGUUACCAGAAGUCCCUGCUGCUACUCCAGGGUGAAGAACAACAGUUGCCCUCACAAUUUGCCAGAAGUCCCUGCUGCCGCUCCAGGGUGAAGAGGAACACUUGUGACCACAAGGACCCAGAAGUCCCUGCUGCUGCUCCUAGGUGAAGAGCAACACUUGCCAUCACAAGUUACCAGAAGUCCCUGCUGCUGCUCCAGGGUGAAGAGGAACACUUGCCAUCACAAGUUACCAGAAGUCCCUGCUGCUGCUCCAGGGUGAAGAACAAUAGUUGCCAUUACAAGUUGCCAGAAGUCCCUGCUGCUGCUCCAAGGUGAAGAGGAACACUUGCCAUCACAAGUUACCAGAAGUCCCUGCUGCUGCUCCAGGGUGAAGAACAAUAGUUGCCAUUACAAGGUGCCAGAAGUCCCUGCUGACGCUCCAGUGUGAAGAGGAAUACUUGCCAUCACAAGAUACCAGCAGUUCCUGCUGCAGCUCCAGGGUGAAGACGAACACUUGUCAUCACAAGUAACCAGAAGUCCCUGCUGUAGCUCCAGGGUGAAGAGGAACACUUGUGAUCCCAAGUUACCAGAAGUCCCUGCUGCAGCUCCUGGCUGAAGAGGUACACAUUUCACCACAAGUAACCAGAAGUCCCUGUAGCAGCUCCAGGGUGAAGACGAACACUUGCCAUCACAAGUAAGCAGAAGUCCCUCCUGCAGCUCCAGGGUGAAGAACAACAGUUGCCAUCACAAAUUACUUGAAGUUCCUGCUGCAGGUCCAGGGUGAAGAGGAACACUUGCCAUCACACUUUACUCGAAGUCCCGGCCAUUGCUCCAGGGUGAAGAGGAAAACUUGCCAUCACAAGUAACCAGAAUUUCCUGAUGCCACUCGAGGGUGAAGAGGUGCCAUCAAAAAUUACGAGAAGUCCCUGCUGCUGUUCCAGGGGUAAAUAAGAGCAGUCCCAUCACACGUAACCAGAAUUCCCUGCUAUAGUGACAGGGUGAAGAGGAACACUUGCCAUCACACUUUACUCGACGUCCCGGCUAUUGCUCCAGGGUGAAGAGGAAAACUUGCCAUCACAAGUAACCAGAAUUUUCUGAUGCCACUCGAGGGUGAAGAGGUGCAGUUGCCAUCAAAAGUUACGAGAAGUCCCUGCUGCUGUUCCAGGGUGAUAUUCAUCUGGUAAACAUGGAAAGAAGCUGCUGUCCAAGUAAUUGAUGGUUUGAACCUGCUGUACCAAAGUUUUUUUCUAUGGAUCUCAACUUCGCCUUUGGAGUUCACUUUGAACUGCUUUUGAUUCAAUUCAUACGGACACCAGUUGUCAUUUUCACAUUGUCCUUCUCUGAUGUUUGAAAAGAUUGAAGGCAAAAGGAGAAGAGGAUGGCAGGAGGUGACAAAGAUGAGAGAGUGUCAUGGAAGGAGCAAACGUGAACUUGGACAGACUUUGUAAGAUAGCAGACAGAAGGGCCUGGUAUGCUAAGGUCUCUGGGGUCACAAAUCUUCAACGUUCAAAAUACCGGAGCCCAUAAAGUGAAUCAGAAGCAGGACAAACAGACAUCGGAUAACAAGACAGGGAUACACGAAGGAAGUGGGACUCAGAUGAGGACGUAUACAAUGGACGGGAACAAAGAAGACCCAAAGACAAGGAAUAUCCCAGAACAAUGAGAAUCCAUGACAUCUGCCCACCACAAUCUGUCCUGCCAUUCUCAAGACCAUGUGGCUUUCCUUCCCCUGCUUUGCUACCACAAGGAUGGAUACAGAACUUCCCACAACAAACACUGACAUCAUAUGGAGGAACCCGGUUUAUCUUCUUCUACGAUGGCAGAGUCAACUCUACAAAUGUACAUAGAAUAUAAGAGGGCCAAAAAGGAAUGGAAGGAAAGGAAAGGAAAGAGGAAAAAAAGGGAAGAGGAGGAAAAGGAAAUAAGCAUUUAUUAAGAACCUACUAUGUGUCAGGCACUGUGAUAAGCACUUUACUAAUAUUAUCUUAUUAAGUGUGAGAUCUGGACCCUCUGCCCCUUAAUCAUGUGCCACCACUUUGGAAAAGAUCAGAAAAGCUGCAAAAAAUUGAGGGGAGCCCAAGAAAAUGGUGUCUCCCCUGAAGUCAAAAGGAGACCCUGAGGGUGGGACCAUGUCAGAAGAUGAAAAAGAAACCAGAGCAAGAGAGCUUACAGUCCCUCAGAAGAAUAGGAAAAGACCGUGGCUACCCUAGCAAAGGUCCCAGCGGCCACAAAAGCCACCGCUCCUGCAACAAAGUGCCUGGGAUAUUUUCUAAGAAGGCCUCCGGCAAGAAAGGGCCACCCCGGCCAAAGCUGAUGUCAUCCUAACAGAAGCGGGAGCCCCCCCCCCCGAGCCACCCACCCAUGAGCAAAGGGGCCCCCAGGAAGUUAAGAAAGAAGAUGGUGACUCUGAAGAAGACAGUGAAGAUGAGAAGAGAGAACCUGGGCCACCCAGAGCUACAAAAGUGGGAGCAGCUCUAGCCAAAUACACUUAGAUGGUGGUAAUGGAGGAGGAAGAAGAAGAAAUGAAGGAGGAGGAGGAGGGUGGGGAAGAAGAAACAAAGGAAGAAGAAAUGGCGGCGGUGGAGGAGGAGGAGGGUGGGGAAGAAGAAACGAAGGAA
Molecule: long non-coding RNA, 33568 nt
Filed under: Sarcophilus harrisii (Tasmanian devil)
Lineage: Eukaryota; Metazoa; Chordata; Mammalia; Dasyuromorphia; Dasyuridae
Description: lncRNA (ENSSHAG00000030664.1)
Source: RNAcentral